Molecule: RNA transcript, 1277 nt
Organism: Rosa chinensis
Lineage: Eukaryota; Viridiplantae; Streptophyta; Magnoliopsida; Rosales; Rosaceae
Exons: 3
Source: RefSeq, a predicted model, not a curated record
CGAACUGAGGAUUGGCCGAUUGGGUUCUCUAUUUCCCUUUCUCUUCCAGCGUCCUUCUUAGUUCUUCCUUCUUCCUUCUUGGUCCAUAGUUAAUCUUUGGCUCUCAGAUUAUUUGCUUCUUCUUUUUUUCUUCUUUUGUUGUCAUUUUUCUUCAUUCUCUAUCUUUUACUUCCUCAUCUCUCCUCCAGUCGCUCUCACCCUCAAAAACCAGAUCGAAAAACAUACCAAACACCAAACAACCAAAUCUGAAUCGUACCUUCGCCAUCCAUUUCGUCAUCCUUCUCUCUUAGCCUUUCACAUCCUGCUUCAUUUCCUAUGAAACCAAUCUUGGCCCAAAUUCCGUAAUACCCAAAUCAAAAAACCUAACACCUCAGCCCCAAAUACCUCCUCCAAUCUCACUUGCUCUCUCGACUUCUUGCUUAGCAAUCAGUUGCUUGUCGCACUCGAUUUCUGUACUUGCAAUCGAAAUCUUGUGGCUCGUUAGAAAUUGAAAGGGUACAAGGCUUCGAUCAAAUUUGUAGAUUGAAGAGCUCGGGAGGACGACGUGUCGUUUCAUAGGCUGCCGAAGGGGUCAUCGACGAGGUGGAAGGGGCUUCUGGGGCGGAAGAGGACCGCGCACAUUGGGUCCAAGAAAGCUGAGAGAGGUAGUGAUGACUCUUCUAUGGAAGGAAGAAGGUCUGGCCUUGUGCAUGAGAGUUCUUCUUCACAGAUCAACUUGAAAGGGUUGGAUGGCAUCCAGGGUCCAGUUUAUGUGGGAACUGGUUGCUGUUUCAACAGGCAAGCACUAUAUGGGUAUGAUCCUGUUUUGACUGAGGAAGAUUUGGAACCAAACAUCAUAUUAAAGAGUUGUUGUGGUUCAAGAAAGAAGGGAAAGACCAGCAAUCAGAAGUAUAUUGACAAGAAGAGGGCUGUCAAAAGAACUGAAUCGACCAUUCCCAUUUUCAAUAUGGAAGACAUUGACGAGUUAAGGGUAUAUUUUCUCUUCAUUGGCAGAGCUGGUUAUGGCGCGCUCAGUUAAGAGUGAAGCAUAUGAUAUUCAAGAACUAGCCGACAUGUUGCAGAUUGGGUCCAAAUUCUAUGUAAUUGGAAUCUCAAUGGGGGCUUUACCCUGUUUGGAGUUGCUUGAAAUACAUACCGCACAUGCAUGGUACUUACUUGAAGAGCCAUGGCGCUAUUGUUUUCUUUUUUGUUUUGAAUAAUGUUUCUGACAUUUUGUAGAGAGGGACAUUUACUAAACAAAUAUAGCUUGCCCACCAAAGCAGAUCUUUUUUAACAAA